This 234-nucleotide long non-coding RNA is filed under the name Mytilus galloprovincialis (Mediterranean mussel). Lineage: Eukaryota; Metazoa; Mollusca; Bivalvia; Mytilida; Mytilidae. The record is from RNAcentral.
CUCCUAAAAAGAUGUUUAUUAGUUCAGUGAAAAUGGAUGUCAUACUAAACAUAUACCUGAAAAUGAACUAAAAUAGAAAAUCCUACAAGAUUAACAAAGGCCAGAGGCUCCUGACUUGAGACAGGCGGGGUUAUAUAUGAGUGAGAUCUCAACCCUCCUGCUAUACCUCUAGCCAAUGUAGAAAAACAAACAGAAAGCAAUACACCGCAGUCAGUUUAAAAGAUGUCAAAGUCC